Molecule: unclassified non-coding RNA, 245 nt
Filed under: Hevea brasiliensis (rubber tree)
Lineage: Eukaryota; Viridiplantae; Streptophyta; Magnoliopsida; Malpighiales; Euphorbiaceae
Source: RNAcentral
GCAAGGCCAGCAGCGACUGAGAUUGCUCUCAAGUACCUUGGUGAGCUGCAACAGAUCGUACAGAGCUGGGAGACAAAAAAACCAUGGCUUCCAAAGAGCGGAAUAGAUGAGGUUCUAAGUGAUGCUGACAAGUUAAGAAGUUGGCUGGAUGAGAAGGAGGCUGAGCAGAAGAAGACGUCAGAAUUUAGCACACCUGCGUUCACGUCAGAAGAACUUUACAUGAAGGUGUUCAAUCUUCAAGAUAA